GGUCCUAAAUCCAAAUUUUGGGGUCAUUUUCAGGGGUCCCAAUCCCAAAUUUUGGGGUCAUUUUGGGGGGUCUCAGUCCCAAAUUUGGGGUAAUUUUGGGGGGUCUCAGUCCCAAAUUUGGGGUCACUUUGGGGGGUCCUGGGGGUCUUUGGGGGGCUCUGGGACCACCCCAAAAUUUUGGGGUUUUUUCGGGGGGUCUGGGACCAUCUCGGGGGUCCCUCCAUGGAUUUGGGGGUCCCUGGGGGUCUCCUGAGGGGUCUGGGGGUCCAAAUUCUGGGCUGGGGUCUCCUCUGGGGCUGAAGACCCCAGACCCACAAUUGGGGUCUCCUUGGGGGGCUCCAUUGGGGUCUCUUCACACCCUGAAGACCCCAGACCCACAAUUGGGGUCUCCUUGGGGAUCUCCACCAGGUUCUCCCCAUGGGGUGAAGACCCCAGACCCACAAUUGGGGUCUCCUCGGGGGUCUCCCCAUGCACCGAUCCCACCACCACAACCUCCCCAGAAGCCCCCAGACCCACGACCACCUUCUCCCUUGUGACCUGGGGGACCGGAGACCCCAGACCCACAACCACAACCUCCUCCUUUGGAACAUGUGGGACCCCAGCCAGGUUCUCCCCAUGGCCUGAAGACCCCAGACCCACAACCACAACCUCCUCCUUUGGAACAUGUGGGACCCCAACCACAUUCUCCCCAUGGUUUGAAGACCCCAACCCAACCCCUACCACAUUCUCCCCAUGGCCUGAAGACCCCAGACCCACAACCACCACCUCCUCCUUUGGAACCUGUGGGACCCCAGCCAGGUUCUCCCCAUGGUUUGAAGCCCCCAUCCCCAUCUCAACCAGGUUCUCCCCAUGGCCUGAAGACCCCAUCCCCACCACAACCUCCUCCUUUGGAACAUGUGGGACCCCAACCAUGUUCUCCCCAUGGACCGGAGACCCCAGACCCACCAUGACCUUCACAACGUCCUGUGAAGGUUGUGGGACCCC
RNAcentral lists this long non-coding RNA (984 nucleotides) under Zonotrichia albicollis (white-throated sparrow). RNAcentral's name for it is "lncRNA (ENSZALG00000001941.1)". Lineage: Eukaryota; Metazoa; Chordata; Aves; Passeriformes; Passerellidae. The record is from RNAcentral.